This 46-nucleotide non-coding RNA is filed under the name Schistosoma haematobium. The record is from RNAcentral. Lineage: Eukaryota; Metazoa; Platyhelminthes; Trematoda; Strigeidida; Schistosomatidae.
CCACUGCUGAGGAGUUCCAGAUUGGGACGAAACGGCCGUCCUGUGC